Long non-coding RNA from Cebus imitator (Panamanian white-faced capuchin), 440 nucleotides. RefSeq lists it as uncharacterized. The record is from RefSeq and is a predicted model, not a curated record. NCBI's taxonomy places the organism in Eukaryota, Metazoa, Chordata, Mammalia, Primates, Cebidae. The transcript has 3 exons.
CUGAUGCUUCCCGCUGCCAGUGACAUCAGCCGGCUGAGCCGUGCAAUAGAGAGCGGCAUCAUCCCUCACAGAACGGGGGAGGAGCAGGAGGGGACAACAGGGAGGAGACUUGCCUCCCAGGGAAAGACAGCACAACAGCUACUUGGAAUAGUCCCGGUACAGUGCCGGCAACUCUGUAAAAGGAGAUAAUGAAACUCACACUGGGAAAUGAGCAGAGGAAAGUCAGAAAUAGAUAAAACUGGAGGCCACAAAUUCAGUAUCCCCAGCUUUCCAGUGAUUCCUAUUCUGUGAGCUUUGUAUCAACAGCCUUCCAACAUAUCCCACAUUUUACUAAAGGAAAAAAAAGAGCAGAAAACUUGUUUUUGAAGUCCAAGAGGAACUAGGCAACGUACAACUAUCACCAUAUUCCUCAAAACAACCCCAUGGAGAAGACAGGCAUU